RNAcentral lists this small nuclear RNA (105 nucleotides) under Castor canadensis (American beaver). Lineage: Eukaryota; Metazoa; Chordata; Mammalia; Rodentia; Castoridae. The record is from RNAcentral.
GUGCUGGCUUCAGCAGUACAUAUACUAAAAAUUGGAAUGAUACAAAGAUUAGCAUGGCCCCUGUGCAAGGAUGACACACAGAUUUGUGAAGCAUGCCAUAUUUUU